UGGGGAAUAUUGCACAAUGGGCGAAAGCCUGAUGCAGCAACGCCGCGUGAGUGAUGAAGGCCUUCGGGUUGUAAAGCUCUGUCUUCUGGGACGAUAAUGACGGUACCAGAGGAGGAAGCCACGGCUAACUACGUGCCAGCAGCCGCGGUAAUACGUAGGUGGCAAGCGUUGUCCGGAUUUACUGGGCGUAAAGGAUGCGUAGGCGGAUACUUAAGUCAGAUGUGAAAAUCCCGGGCUUAACUUGGGAACUGCAUUUGAAACUGGGUAUCUAGAGUGCGGGAGAGGAAAGUGGAAUUCCUAGUGUAGCGGGGAAAUGCGUAGAGAUGAGGAAGAACACCAGUGGCGAAGGCGACUUUCUGGACCGUAACUGACGCUGAGGCAUGAAAGCGUGGGGAGCAAACA
This 402-nucleotide ribosomal RNA is filed under the name uncultured bacterium. Its description in RNAcentral is "bacterial SSU rRNA". It matches the Rfam family "Bacterial small subunit ribosomal RNA", at positions 355 to 774 of the family's 1533-position model. The record is from RNAcentral.